Molecule: long non-coding RNA, 1008 nt
Filed under: Populus trichocarpa (black cottonwood)
Lineage: Eukaryota; Viridiplantae; Streptophyta; Magnoliopsida; Malpighiales; Salicaceae
Description: long non-coding RNA (PTRI_LNC004782)
Source: RNAcentral
UUUUUUUUUACAGCAUGAUUUUUAUUGUCAAGGUUGCCAUGACACGACGUUUUUUAAUGGCAAAGAGAAAAUAGUAUUUAGUGCUGAUAUUUUACAGUGUAAGAUCGAUUCUUGUACUGCUGAAUCUUUAUCUGGUCCUGUUUCUUUCAAAACAAUUCUGAGCAUGGAAUGAUAGCACCCUCACGCAACAACUGCCAUAAUGUGAGUUGUGGGUCCAACUCUUUAGAACUGGGAGAAGCAGGGAAAGGUUGCAGAUAUCAAUCAUUACUGUAGUCAUUUUUUCCUCAGUCAUAUCUAAAACAUGAGAGAUCAUUGAACAACAAACAGGAAACCUGACAUCAAAAACAUAAACCUUUCCCUGCAAAAUAAUGCAAGGAAAUCAACUCACAGGCUACAAGAGAGACUGAGAAGCCCCUACAAAAUGAAUUUAGGCAUAGGCAAAGAAAGACCAAUAAAUCAUGCACAGUGGAAGAAAAGAAAAGGUAACAACAGAAGCACCAUGAUCAAAAGCCAAGCAACAAAGACCAAAAUAACACAGAAAAAAAAAAAUAGCAUGAUCAAAAGGUAAGCAAAUAACAACGUGAAGAACAUAUAAAGAAGUGCAAUCAAACUUACAGGGGACAAAAAAUAAACUUAAGAGGGCAAUAAUGGAAGCUAGAAACAGGGGGAAAAGGAAGCAACGAAUAGACAAAGAAAAAAUGUAAGACAAUUCUAAGGAGAGAACCAAAAGAGAUGACCCGUUAAAUAGCCCUCCAAAUCCUGAUGCGAAAGAAGGUGAGAAAACAGGGACAGAAGCUGCAAAAACCAACACAAAAGGCCAACAAAGCCCAACAUGAGUUGACAAUAGAAGUAAAAAAUCCAUAACUGCCAAAAAAAUCUGAAACCAAAGGAAGAAUCAACUAAAUAGAAGAGACACUCAUCUUGUUCUAUUCAGUCAGGCAAAUAACCCAAAGAAGAAAUACCAUGGGAGAACCAAACAUAACAAUCCUAAACUAAAUAGGAGUUAAN